RNAcentral lists this long non-coding RNA (445 nucleotides) under Homo sapiens (human). RNAcentral describes it as "HSALNT0277053". The record is from RNAcentral. Lineage: Eukaryota; Metazoa; Chordata; Mammalia; Primates; Hominidae.
UCUUCCUAUGUUGCUCAGGCUGAUCUCAAAUUCCUGGGCUCAAGUGAUCCUCCCAUCUCAGUCUCCCAAAGUGUUGGGAUUACAGGUGUGGGCCGACCGUGCCCAGCUACAUGUGUCUUCUGAUUCUCCAACCACCCAAGGAGAUAGCUUCCCAUUUCAUAGAUGAGGGGAUUUACAUAUCUUAGAAAAGGGAAGGUGAAAAAGGAAAAGAAAACAGGUUUUUAUCAAAGGCCUGCUCCAUUUCCAGGAAUUAUCCAGGGCUCUUUCACAUAUAUUAACAAACCUAUUCUCUCAAAAUCAUUACAUGCAGCAUCCAUAGCCACGUUUUAAGUUCUAAAUAAGUUCAAGUUCUGUGAAGUAACUAAGGAGCCUAGCUAGGAAGGUGGAGACUCAGAUGUAAAAUCCAGUGCCCAGGCCAGGCGCGGUGGCUCACGCCUGUAAUCCC